This 1152-nucleotide ribosomal RNA is filed under the name marine metagenome. RNAcentral describes it as "bacterial SSU rRNA". It matches the Rfam family "Bacterial small subunit ribosomal RNA", at positions 339 to 1520 of the family's 1533-position model. The record is from RNAcentral.
CUACGGGAGGCAGCAGUGGGGAAUCUUGCACAAUGGAGGAAACUCUGAUGCAGCGAUGCCGCGUGAGUGAAGAAGGCCCUUGGGUUGUAAAGCUCUUUCGUCGGGGAAGAAAAUGACUGUACCCGAAUAAGAAGGUCCGGCUAACUUCGUGCCAGCAGCCGCGGUAAUACGAAGGGACCUAGCGUAGUUCGGAAUUACUGGGCUUAAAGAGUUCGUAGGUGGUUGAAAAAGUUGGUGGUGAAAUCCCAGAGCUUAACUCUGGAACUGCCAUCAAAACUUUUCAGCUAGAGUAUGAUAGAGGAAAGCAGAAUUUCUAGUGUAGAGGUGAAAUUCGUAGAUAUUAGAAAGAAUACCAAUUGCGAAGGCAGCUUUCUGGAUCAUUACUGACACUGAGGAACGAAAGCAUGGGUAGCGAAGAGGAUUAGAUACCCUCGUAGUCCAUGCCGUAAACGAUGUGUGUUAGACGUUGGAAAUUUAUUUUCAGUGUCGCAGCGAAAGCGAUAAACACACCGCCUGGGGAGUACGACCGCAAGGUUAAAACUCAAAUGAAUUGACGGGGACCCGCACAAGUAGUGGAGCAUGUGGUUUAAUUCGAAGAUACGCGCAGAACCUUACCAACACUUGACAUGUUCGUCGCGACUCUAAGAGAUUAGAGUUUUCGGUUCGGCCGGACGAAACACAGGUGCUGCAUGGCUGUCGUCAGCUCGUGUCGUGAGAUGUUGGGUUAAGUCCCGCAACGAGCGCAACCCUCACUUUUAGUUGCCAUCAUUAAGUUGGGCACUCUGAAAGAACUGCCAGUGAUAAGCUGGAGGAAGGUGGGGAUGACGUCAAGUCCUCAUGGCCCUUACGUGUUGGGCUACACACGUGCUACAAUGGUAUCUACAACAGGAAGCAAGACUGCGAAGUUAAGCAAAUCCCUAAAAGAUACCUCAGUUCGGAUUGCACUCUGCAACUCGAGUGCAUGAAGCUGGAAUUACUAGUAAUCGUGGAUCAGCGUGCCACGGUGAAUGCGUUCCCGGGUCUUGUACACACCGCCCGUCACACCAUGGGAGUUGGUUCUACCUUAAGGCAAGGUUUCAAACCCUUGACCACGGUAUAGUCAGCGACUGGGGUGAAGUCGUAACAAGGUAGCCGUAGGGGAACCUGCGGCUG